Peromyscus leucopus (white-footed mouse) is the source of this 2610-nucleotide long non-coding RNA. RefSeq lists it as uncharacterized. Lineage: Eukaryota; Metazoa; Chordata; Mammalia; Rodentia; Cricetidae. The transcript is spliced from 2 exons. The record is from RefSeq and is a predicted model, not a curated record.
GAAUCUGUAAAAGUAAAUAAUUUGCACAUGUCCACACUGACUGUAUAGGUUACAGGCGGCGUGGCUCAGUUUCUUCUGUCAUUUUUCCUGGUAUUUUUUUUCUCACAAAGCCAUUUUAUCAUUGAAGUUAUAAGAGUUGCAGUUCUUCUUCUGGUGAUUUUUCCACAUGCUCAGCACUCCUGUGCCAUUGUGCAAAGUCAUUGCAAAUCAAAAAGAAAUGAUUUGCUUACAGCUCGAGUUGUUAGGAGAAGUGUUAACAUCUUUGGAUCGUUGUAGAAACAAGUACUUGAAGAGUCUGAGAGGAGAGAAAAACUUACAGAAUUUUCGCAGACAUCACCGAAGCUUGACAGUUGUAGAAAUUGCCCCCGUCUGUCUAAGCAGCCUUCAUGUCCAGACUUUAGAAUGGCCCAGUCAAUGCCAGUCUCUUUCUGCUCCUUCUCUUGACAUGUCCUUCUGAUAUUUUCUAGAUAGAUGUAUAAGGUUUAGUAAUCCCCAGGUCUCCCAGUGUGCACCCCACCUGCACAUAUACACACCAGACGGAACACCAAAAUCAAACCUUGGAGGUUUCCUGAAGCAGUUAGCUUUUACAAUCCACACUUCUUUUGAGACUGAUUUUAUUCAUCAUCCUUUUGAUGAAUUUUGACUUUUUUUGUUACACAGCUGUCAACUCAGUUGUUUAACGAGUUACUUUACUUGUUCAGAGAAUUGAGUUUUCUGGAUCUUACAGCUGUAGCUUGUAUUGGUGUCAAGGUCAAAAUCUUUUAAUUUUAUUGAUGGAGCUGGUGUUAUAACCGGAGGGCUUCCCUCAUGUUGUAUAUUUAAAUCCUGUCAUAGUGCCUAAAAACUGUCAUUUCUUGGCUUCCCGUCCAGCAAAUAUUUUUAUUAAAUUCCUUGGCUAUAUCUAGUUUACUUUUCCUUAGGAGAAAUAUUACAGAAUACCACCAGCCUCAUGAUCACAAAUAGAUUGUUGCCAUGGCAACCUGGCAGGGUUUUUUUUUUUUUUUUAAUAUUAGAAUUUUCUUGUUGAAGCAAAACUUAUGACAUUGGGGACCCUUUCCUGGUGGUGAAAACUUCCUGCUGUCUCUUAGAGUUGGAAUUAUGCUGGGUCCAGGCAGAGAACAGCUCUGAUUUAGGAAGCAAACAGUUCAUUUACACACUUAGCUAAUCAGAGGCUCUGUUACUGUGUGAGGAGACCUGUCCUUUCUUGGCUGUAGACACACACUCUGCAGGCAUUGUCUUUUCCACAGUCCGACACCAGUGAGGUCUGCAAGAGCGUCGAAGUUCCAUCUCUGUCUCUGGCAUCACAGAGCUUGGCUGCUUCCUCACUGCAGGAGGUCUUAGAAUAUUGCUUGGGGUCCCUGAGACUGGUUUUCAGAGUUGUAAGUAGGAAUAUGAACCUCUGCCUUAUGGGCUUGUUUUAUUAAAUUAUUGCUUUUUAUUUAUAGAGAGCACAGCAAUAGUAAAUAUUCAGCAUAUUGAAUUCAUGUCUCAUCUCACUUAACCUCCAUAAGUGACUGUCUGAUGUUUGUUACCAGUUGCUGUGACAAAAUACACCAACAAAAGCUACUUAGAGGACAGAGGGUCAUUGCAGUUCAUAAUCCCAGCUUCCAGCUUAUCGUUAGGGGGAGUCAAGGUGGCAAGAACUCACAGAGGUGUCCAUAGUCAGAGCAGAGGACGGUCACAGAGGUGUCCAUAGUCAGAGCAGAGGACGGUCACAGAGGUGUCCAUAGUCAGAGCAGAGGACGGUCACAGAGGUGUCCAUAGUCAGAGCAGAGGGUCACAGAGGCGUCCAUAGUCAGAGCAGAGGGUCACAGAGGCGUCCAUAGUCAGAGCAGAGAGGACGGUCACAGAGGCGUCCAUAGUCAGAGCAGAGGACGGUCACAGAGGUGUCCAUAGUCAGAGCAGAGGACGGUCACAGAGGUGUCCAUAGUCAGAGCAGAGGAUGGUCACAGAGGUGUCCAUAGUCAGCAGAGGACGUCACAGAGGCGUCCAUAGUCAGAGCAGAGGAUGGUCACAGAGGUGUCCAUAGUCAGAGCAGAGGAUGGUCACAGAGGUGUCCAUAGUCAGAGCAGAGGAUGGUCACAGAGGUGUCCAUAGUCAGAGCAGAGAGGAUGGUCACAGAGGUGUCCAUAAUCAGAGCAGAGAAGAUGGUAUGUGCAUGCUUGUUCUUAGUUCCAUCUCUCCACGCUUACACAGGUCAGGAUAUCCUUCUCAGGGAAUGGUACUGUCCACAGCUAAGAUGGGGAUUUCAACAUUUUUGAACUUAAUCUGACAGUUCCCCACAGACUUACCCAUAGGCCGACGUUAUCUAGACAAUCCUUCACUGAGCGCCUCUUUUUAGGGGAUUUUAGAGUAUGUCAAGUUGACAGUUAAAACUAACCAUCUCAAUAACAAUAUGAAAGGCACAGCAUUUUUGAUUUACAUGUGAAGGUGCUUAUGGGGAUAGCUAAACCGAUUUGUCCACAUCACAGUUACUCACUCAAUGCCCUUCUGGGGGCAGACUUUCCAGGGACAGAUCUGGGCAUGAAAUGAAGAACUGAGAACCUUAAACGGCAUUGAUGCUAGCGGACGCUGUUACAGUAGACUCGAAGAGAGCCAUGGACACCAACC